This 434-nucleotide ribosomal RNA is filed under the name uncultured bacterium. RNAcentral describes it as "partial 16S ribosomal RNA". It matches the Rfam family "Bacterial small subunit ribosomal RNA", at positions 29 to 507 of the family's 1533-position model. The record is from RNAcentral.
AGCGAACGCUGGCGGCAGGCCUAACACAUGCAAGUCGAACGAACCUUUCGGGGUUAGUGGCGGACGGGUGAGUAACACGUGGGAACGUGCCUUUAGGUUCGGAAUAACUCAGGGAAACUUGUGCUAAUACCGAAUGUGCCCUUCGGGGGAAAGAUUUAUCGCCUUUAGAGCGGCCCGCGUCUGAUUAGCUAGUUGGUUGAGGUAAUGGCUCACCAAGGCGACGAUCAGUAGCUGGUCUGAGAGGAUGAUCAGCCACAUUGGGACUGAGACACGGCCCAAACUCCUACGGGAGGCAGCGGUGGGGAAUCUUGCGCAAUGGGCGAAAGCCUGACGCAGCCAUGCCGCGUGAAUGAUGAAGGUCUUAGGAUUGUAAAAUUCUUUCACCGGGGACGAUAAUGACGGUACCCGGAGAAGAAGCCCCGGCUAACUUCGUG